Molecule: long non-coding RNA, 832 nt
Filed under: Homo sapiens (human)
Lineage: Eukaryota; Metazoa; Chordata; Mammalia; Primates; Hominidae
Description: HSALNT0388280
Source: RNAcentral
GCCUUAGCGAGGCCAUGGGGGAAAAAGUCUAACUGGCGGAACUCCUGGGAACUGGGGCGAUGGGCUCUUAGUAUCGGAGGAUUGGAGCCAUCUGAUUUUUACCUGAAAUUCCUUAGUCUCUCCUGUGUUGGGGAAAUGGUCACCUUGCCUUCAGGGACCUGGGCUUUCAGCUGUCCAUACCUGGCCCUGGUUGAUGGCGGCAUGCUGGGCAGUGCACGUGAAGACGCACAUGCCCCGCAGCAGUUCCCGAGACCUUGUGCCUCCUUCCCCGACGCCGCCUGCUCACCGGUGCCCUCGGGCAGGCUCAGGAUGUCCUCGCCCUGCACCCAGCGGUAGCACGGGAAGGCCACCUCCGCGCAGGCUCCAGGGCCCUGCACCGUGAUGCGGUCGCAGAACCACGCGUCGUCCACCAGCCAGUGGUGCUUGCGCAGCCUCACGAACUGCAGGAGCCCCAAGUCCUCUGCAACGUCAUGAUCAAACUCCUCCUCCUGUGCAGGCCGGACCCAGGCCAGACUUAGUAGGAGGGACCCGACUGAGGCCGUUUCGAGGACAGAGCCGCGCUCCUGUGCAACCUCAGUUUCUCAGGGCCUCCAAAGACAGCAUCGCCUCGUUCCCGCCCCCGCACAACCUGCUCUUUGGGUCUCAGACGCCCGGAGUCGGGUGGAGGACGAGGGCCCGCAGCGCCUGGAGCUGAUGCUGGAGCAGCAUCGCCCACGUGGGUCCCAUUAACUGAGCUCUCCCCGCGCCGGUUCUUGGAGGAGCUUCACGUCUGACCUCUGGCCUCAUACUUACAUUGGCUCUGGGUCACUGGGAGAAGGAGCUGGGGGCUGCC